GACGUAGGGGGCGAGCGUUGUCCGGAAUUACUGGGCGUAAAGAGCACGUAGGCGGGAACUUAAGUCAGAUGUGAAAGACCGGGGCUCAACUCCGGGAUUGCAUUUGAAACUGGGUUUCUUGAGGGCAGGAGAGGAAAGCAGAAUUCCUGGUGUAGCGGUGAAAUGCGUAGAAAUCAGGAGGAAUACCAGUGGCGAAGGCGGCUUUCUGGACUGACCCUGACGCUGAGGUGCGAAAGCGUGGGUAGCAAACAGGAUUAGAUACCCUGGUAGUCCACGCCGUAAACGAUGGAUACUAGGUGUGGGAGGUAUCGACCCCUUCCGUGCCGCAGCUAACGCAAUAAGUAUCCCGCCUGGGGAGUACGGUCGCAAGGCUGAA
This 376-nucleotide ribosomal RNA is filed under the name uncultured bacterium. RNAcentral describes it as "bacterial SSU rRNA". It matches the Rfam family "Bacterial small subunit ribosomal RNA", at positions 524 to 898 of the family's 1533-position model. The record is from RNAcentral.